Molecule: ribosomal RNA, 468 nt
Filed under: uncultured bacterium
Lineage: Bacteria
Description: partial 16S ribosomal RNA
Rfam family: Bacterial small subunit ribosomal RNA
Source: RNAcentral
GACGAACGCUGGCGGCGUGCUUAGCACAUGCAAGUCGAACGGAAAGGCCCUGCUUUUGUGGGGUGCUCGAGUGGCGAACGGGUGAGUAACACGUGAGUAACCUGCCCUUGACUUUGGGAUAACUUCAGGAAACUGGGGCUAAUACCGGAUAGGAGCUCCUGCUGCAUGGUGGGGGUUGGAAAGUUUCGGCGGUUGGGGAUGGACUCGCGGCUUAUCGGCUUGUUGGUGGGGUAGUGGCUUACCAAGGCUUUGACGGGUAGCCGGCCUGAGAGGGUGACCGGCCACGUUGGGACUGAGAUGCGACCCAGACUCCUACGGGACGCAGCAGUGGGGAAUGUUGCACAAUGGGCGGAAGCCUGAUGCAGCAACGCCGCGUGCGGGAUGACGGCCUUCGGGUUGUAAACCGCUUUCGCCUGUGACGAAGCGUGAGUGACGGUAAUGGGUAAAGAAGCACCGGCUAACUACGUG